This 263-nucleotide long non-coding RNA is filed under the name Homo sapiens (human). RNAcentral's name for it is "lncAB117.1". The record is from RNAcentral. Lineage: Eukaryota; Metazoa; Chordata; Mammalia; Primates; Hominidae.
GGCCCAAAGCUAUACUAUAUAAAGUACUGCUAGGUACAAAAGAAAAAGUCUGUACAGCUUUUAGCAAAACUGCUUUCCCAGAAAAGCAAAUUAAAAUAAUGCAAUCAGCAGAUCAAGGAGACUACAGCUAGACAUCAGAGCUACAACUUCUCAUAUCUGUGUCAGAAAAUCCUAUUUACCCAGAAUAGACUAAAAUUUCAGGACAAAACAGGGACUUUUUAACAUUUCUUACUUUACCCAUUUUAAGUUCUUUUUAUCUCCCC